This 512-nucleotide ribosomal RNA is filed under the name uncultured bacterium. RNAcentral's name for it is "partial 16S ribosomal RNA". It matches the Rfam family "Bacterial small subunit ribosomal RNA", at positions 29 to 507 of the family's 1533-position model. The record is from RNAcentral.
ACGAACGCUGGCGGCGUGCUUCACACCUGCAAGUCGCACGAGAGCGUAGAGAAAGCUUGCUUUUUCUACAAUCUAGUGGCAAACGGGUGAGUAACGCGUAAACAACCUGCCCUACGGAUGGGGACAACAGCUGGAAACGGCUGCUAAUACCGAAUACGUUCCGAAAGUCGCAUGACUAUCGGAAGAAAGGAUGGCCUCUAUUUAUAAGCUAUCGCCGGAGGAGGGGUUUGCGUCUGAUUAGCUAGUUGGAGGGGUAACGGCCCACCAAGGCGACGAUCAGUAGCCGGUCUGAGAGGAUGAACGGCCACAUUGGAACUGAGACACGGUCCAGACUCCUACGGGAGGCAGCAGUGGGGAAUCUUCCGCAAUGGGCGAAAGCCUGACGGAGCAACGCCGCGUGAGUGAAGACGGCCUUCGGGUUGUAAAGCUCUGUUAUACGGGACGAAUAAUCUUGUGGUUAAUACCCAUGAGAAGUGACGGUACCGUAAGAGAAAGCCACGGCUAACUACGUG